GUAAUAAUAUCAAUGUUAAAAAAUAGAAUAAUUGUUAGUCGAUUAUUUAUAUGUAGAAAAUGUUUAAAGUGAAUAAUGUUUGUAGGGUAGAUUGAAAUAAGAGGUUGGUGAUGUGAGAAUAAAUCACUUUGUAAUGUCAGUCGUGGAGAAAAUUUCAAUGUGAAUAGAUCAAGCAGUGAAAUAAAUCGGUAAACCUUUAAAGCUCGUGAAUGCAAUACCAGGUUGUGUGGGACCUUUACCCAUCAAUUGAUUGCGAUGAUCGUUCUCGAUAUGGAGUUGGAUGACAGCGAGAAAAAAAAACUCGAAUAAUUUAACAACGAAUAUGUGACAUCUUCUUUCAAACUUUCUCUACUACAAAAAGCCGCAAACUUUCUCUACUACAAAAAGCCGCAAGUAAAAUCUUGGAGACAUACUUAUGUUUUCAUCAAUUUUUUUUAUAUGGUUCUUCAUGCGUAUAGCAGUGGUGAUGCCAUGUGGAGUUUGACUUACGCAUAUACUACAAAUAGUACGAAAUGGAGGCAAAAGUUGAUUGAAAUAAAAUGGAAGACUAAAUGGAGAGGAAGAGGCAGUAUAAAAAUGUCAAUAGAUUUCAGAAUGCCGGUGGUAUAUUAUUGAUACUCGGUUGCAUAGUAUCCACAAACUGCUUUCAAAUGCGGAGGACUGCUAAGUGACUGACUGAGGCAUAGAAGAUAAGGAGAAGCAAGAGUAUCAUAGGUUCUAUUAUUGUUUACCCAAUGUGAGGUAUAUUUUAUGGAAUAAAUAAGUCAAACCGGUGUUUGGUCAUACCUAAUAACAAUGUUGCAAACUUCUUUUGCUUCCAGUAAUUCAUUUUUACUAUAAAUUAGAUUAGGAUAGUCUACAUAAUUAUUGUAGAAUCCUUCAACUCGCAUAUUUAUAUUUUGUUAGUAUGUCUUUUUUUAUAUUUUGUGUAUACAGUGUUUAUUGUGACCAAUUCACACAAAAACCACGUUCCUGAUUCUCUGACAUACCGGUCUCUAUAGUUAUUAUUGACUUUUUGGAUUUACAGUUAAUAGUUAGUAUAUAUUAACUACGACCCAAAAUAAAAUCCAUAUUUUUAGAUUUUUUUUCUUGUGGUUGGGAGUUAAAAUCGCGCUUUUAUUUACUACUUGCUUUUUUAAAUCAAAUUCUAAAAACGGUAACAUGCGAUUCAGAUCAACGUUUUAUUUGUCGACCGCCAAGGAAGGACAAAGUGCCUUUGCAGGAGGUAGGCGCUUGUCUAUACCCGCUAGCUUGGCGUCUAUCACUAGGAUGACCCUUUGAGUUCCACAAAGAGCCCACUAUCUUCCCGCACCAACGGCUGCGGCAAGCGAGGUCUUUGCGCGAAAUGCACCACCUCUUUCAUCUCUGCGAACUUCGCCCUUAGAAUUUUUAUUAUGCACAUAGUUGUAGUUAAGUUUUUUUAGAUUUUGUGGCUACUUCCAUGAUGACGUUGAGGUAAGAUGAUGAUGCGGCUACCACCGAUGUCUAUGCCCAAGGCCGCCCUACCUGCCCUUGCAUUUUUGUCUCUACGCUUGCUGCAGGCAGCCCCUCCAUCACUUUUUUUUGCAGGCACUCACUUCCUUGCGUUUCGCUCUGGUGAGCAUUCUAUCUGACGCUUGCAUCUUAGUAUCUACGCUCGCUGCAAGUAGAUUCUCCUCUUACUUUUUUUUACAACUACUCCCUAUGUUUCGCUCUUGUAACGAAAGGCUCUUGUUCUCUUACCAUUAAGGCGUUAGUGCCGUUUGUGUCGCUUGAAAUUAGGCAUAGUUGGUUCUCGCCAGCUUUUUUUCGUCUUAGUCUUUUCAUUUCUACGACAUUUUCUAUGAAAAUAUGAAAAUCAGUCAGCUUCCAUUUUUUUAUAUUUAAAUCACAUAGCUAUGCAGUCUGACAUAUUCGCUUAUUUACAAUCAACAUAACAACCCCUAAUUUUUGAAAAAAUAUAUUAAUUGCACCUUAAAAUUACUUUGAAUAGGUGCUGUGAUAUAUUUGUUGAAAGCAAUACACCUCAUCGUUUGACAAUAAAUGUAAAUAAAAAGAAGGCAUGGGCAAAGAGCCCAUGGAUGUUUAUGUUAUGUAUUAAAAAAAGUAGGAGAUUCUUCUUUUGAAUAUUAUUCAAGAUUUUUUAAAAAUCUUAAACAUAAAAUUACUUAUUUAAGUACCUAAUAGCUAUCACAAUAGGCAUAGGUAGUUACUAUUUAAGUAAUAAUCAUAAAGCAAAUCACUUUUACGCUAAAAAUAAAACUUUGUCUAAAGUUAAAUUUGUCC
Molecule: unclassified non-coding RNA, 2265 nt
Filed under: Melitaea cinxia (Glanville fritillary)
Lineage: Eukaryota; Metazoa; Arthropoda; Insecta; Lepidoptera; Nymphalidae
Description: misc RNA ENSMCXG00005018041.1
Source: RNAcentral